UACCAGCACCCCGAGUGGUCGGGACGAUUAUUGGGCCUAAAGCAUCCGUAGCCGGUUCUACAAGUCUUCCGUUAAAUCCGCCUGCUCAACAGUUGGGCUGCGGAGGAUACUAUAGAGCUAGGAGGCGGGAGAGGCAAGCGGUACUUAGUGGGUAGGGGUAAAAUCCGUUGAUCCAUUGAAGACCACCAGUGGCGAAGGCGGCUUGCCAGAACGCACUCGACGGUGAGGGAUGAAAGCUGGGGGAGCAAACCGG
RNAcentral lists this ribosomal RNA (253 nucleotides) under uncultured bacterium. RNAcentral's name for it is "partial 16S ribosomal RNA". It matches the Rfam family "Archaeal small subunit ribosomal RNA", at positions 474 to 727 of the family's 1478-position model. The record is from RNAcentral.